UGGGGAGUACAUACGCAAUUAACUAUUAAGGGAUUAGUUAAUUGUCACUACAUUCCCUAAAGUAAAUAUGCCUUCUGAUGACUGCAGAAUUUGAAGGGGAAAUCUGUAGACAGAUACGAGGCAAAUAUUA
Molecule: small nucleolar RNA, 130 nt
Filed under: Orchesella cincta
Lineage: Eukaryota; Metazoa; Arthropoda; Collembola; Entomobryomorpha; Orchesellidae
Description: Small Cajal body specific RNA 8
Rfam family: Small Cajal body specific RNA 8
About the family: scaRNAs are a specific class of small nuclear RNAs which localise to the Cajal bodies and guide the modification of RNA polymerase II transcribed spliceosomal RNAs U1, U2, U4, U5 and U12. U92 belong to the H/ACA box class of guide RNAs as it has the predicted hairpin-hinge-hairpin-tail structure, conserved H/ACA-box motifs and is found associated with GAR1. Its is predicted to guide the pseudouridylation of residues U44 in U2 snRNA.
Source: Rfam by way of RNAcentral